CCCUAAGCUCUCUAAACACUCCCAAGACAGUUCUCUAUCAUUCAAGUUAAGUUUUCAAAGAUUGUGAAGUGAUUCCUCCAUUAAAAGUUCUUAUGAUGCUAGUUUUGACUUGCUUCUUCUCUUGUGUUGAGAAUUUGAGGUUUCUUCAAGAUGAAGCAAGGUGGGAGUGGAUUGUUUUCGUUCAUCUAAGACUAGCAUAUUGGUGAGACGCUUGCGGAAUUGUGAAGAACAACUACGGUUGAAGGUACAGACGCUCGAUUUGGUGAUCCCCCAGCUUAGGAUUCCGUUUCAGCUGUCUUGGAGAGCUCCGUUGUUCCGGAGCCUAGAUUUUGGUACAGACCUUCUGAUAUAUAUAUAUAUGUUUGUCUAGGGGUACGACGGGGUCCUGUCCCGUCAAAUUUCACUGUUGAUACUCUUAGAGGUCUGUAGACAUGUGUGUGGGUUGUGUAUAAGUUCUGUUCAGCUGUGUCUAUACGUUGUGCUAUGUAUAUGUUCGUCUGUAAUGGCAGCCUUGUCGGCUAGCAUAUGACAUGAUAUUGAUGUGUAGUGGCAGCCUUGUCGGCUUGCGGAUCAUUUUAUGACUUGAUCAGUUGUGACUCCUCAGGAGACAGUUUAUCUGGACAUAUAUAUAUGACG
This is a long non-coding RNA of Lycium barbarum (goji berry), 636 nucleotides long. RefSeq lists it as uncharacterized. NCBI's taxonomy places the organism in Eukaryota, Viridiplantae, Streptophyta, Magnoliopsida, Solanales, Solanaceae. The record is from RefSeq and is a predicted model, not a curated record. The transcript is spliced from 3 exons.